RNAcentral lists this long non-coding RNA (234 nucleotides) under Rosa chinensis. RNAcentral's name for it is "sRNA RchiOBHm_Chr4g0401011". Lineage: Eukaryota; Viridiplantae; Streptophyta; Magnoliopsida; Rosales; Rosaceae. The record is from RNAcentral.
CGAGAGGGAGAGCUUGGAGUUCUCUGACCCGAACGACACCGCCACCUGACACCGUGACCCGGCCACAACUCCGGCGUCCGGCCACCCCACGGCGGCGCACGGGCACCACGUUUUUCAUCUCGCUGUCGCCGUCACGCCUGUGUUCUUUGAUCGUCCAUGCACCGGACGAGGAGGGAGAAUCGACGGUGAGAAGGUCCAACUGUUCCGACGAAUUGCAGCGAUUUCCGGCCACCG